This 253-nucleotide ribosomal RNA is filed under the name Chitinophagaceae bacterium. RNAcentral describes it as "partial 16S ribosomal RNA". It matches the Rfam family "Bacterial small subunit ribosomal RNA", at positions 524 to 776 of the family's 1533-position model. Lineage: Bacteria; Pseudomonadati; Bacteroidota; Chitinophagia; Chitinophagales; Chitinophagaceae. RNAcentral also lists the same sequence under 1 other name. The record is from RNAcentral.
UACGGAGGGUGCAAGCGUUAUCCGGAUUCACUGGGUUUAAAGGGUGCGUAGGUGGCUUUGUAAGUCAGUGGUGAAAUGCCGCAGCUCAACUGCGGAACUGCCAUUGAUACUGCUUAGCUUGAAUCACGUCGAGGUGGAUGGAAUAUUACAUGUAGCGGUGAAAUGCUUAGAUAUGUAAUAGAACACCGAUUGCGAAGGCAGUUCACUAGGCGUGUAUUGACACUGAGGCACGAAAGCGUGGGGAUCAAACAGG